This 929-nucleotide long non-coding RNA is filed under the name Mus pahari (shrew mouse). Its description in RNAcentral is "predicted gene 11417 (MGP_PahariEiJ_G0002581.1)". Lineage: Eukaryota; Metazoa; Chordata; Mammalia; Rodentia; Muridae. The record is from RNAcentral.
UUUGUUUCUCUGAACUUCAGGGCUGUUGGGAUCAGUCCCUGGGUUUUAAUUUCUGUUUGCUAAUGCAAAUGAAUUCUAUACACUCAGGGUAGAAAAUUGAGCCUACCAAGAGAGCACCUCAACCCCCCUGGGUGCAGGUUGUUUGCCUUCGGGUUUCAUGUAAACAGGUGCCUGAAGAUGCCUGUAGAGCCCUCUCUGAGCUGCAGGCUGGGGAAGGACUAGACUGGCCCUGUAAAUUGAAGGCAGAGAAAGAACACCUGACCAUCACCCUGCCCGGGAGGGACCAGAGACCAGUGCUGGAAGUCUACACAUAUGAGAGUUCUGAAGGCAAAUGGCAGCAGAGCCCGAGACUGAAUUUCUAAUACGUUCUCAGGUGAUGGGGAAGUUGCAGAUCCCGGAGGACUUAAGGGAGCACACUGAGACAAAGACAGAAACUGAAGGAUUCUAGAAGGGAAAGUCAUGGCUGAACUGGCGCAGCUGCCUGUGUCAGUGGCUGCGGUAGGUAGCAAGUGGAGACCACCACAGAAGACCACACGUGCACACAGGGCAGAGAUCAGUGGUUGGUGGGGAGCCCGGCCACAAGGGAUACAGCUUUCCUGGGUCUUGCAUUGGUGUCUCAGAAGAUGACUACAGAAAGACUCUGUCAGAGCCAGACCACCAGGAAACUCUCAGUGACAUAGUCUCUCCCAGAAAUGGCUGCAUAAAGAAGACCGGAGCAAUAUCAAUAAGCAUAUUAAUGUGGAGGGGACAAAUGCACAGAGUCUUAUCCCUGGACAAAGAACUACAGGCAACUAAGGGCUGAGGGAGAGGGAGAGCUAGCUUCUUCCAGGGACGAGCUUCCUUAUUGGUUGUUCAGUACAGAGUGGGCAAUUAUGAAACCAUACACACACAAACAACAAAACCAGACUCGGCAGCUUGUACUUAGAUAU